CCCUUAGAGUUUGAUCCUGACUCAGGAUGAACGCUAGCUACAGGCUUAACACAUGCAAGUCGAGGGGCAUCAGGAAGAAAGCUUGCUUUCUUUGCUGGCGACCGGCGCACGGGUGAGUAACACGUAUCCAACCUGCCCUUUACUCGGGGAUAGCCUUUCGAAAGAAAGAUUAAUACCCGAUAGCAUAAUGAUUCCGCAUGGUUUCAUUAUUAAAGGAUUCCGGUAAAGGAUGGGGAUGCGUUCCAUUAGGUUGUUGGUGAGGUAACGGCCCACCAAGCCUUCGAUGGAUAGGGGUUCUGAGAGGAAGGUCCCCCACAUUGGAACUGAGACACGGUCCAAACUCCUACGGGAGGCAGCAGUGAGGAAUAUUGGUCAAUGGGCGUUAGCCUGAACCAGCCAAGUAGCGUGAAGGAUGAAGGCUCUAUGGGUCGUAAACUUCUUUUAUAUAAGAAUAAAGUGCAGUAUGUAUACUGUUUUGUAUGUAUUAUAUGAAUAAGGAUCGGCUAACUCCGUGCCAGCAGCCGCGGUAAUACGGAGGAUCCGAGCGUUAUCCGGAUUUAUUGGGUUUAAAGGGAGCGUAGGUGGACUGGUAAGUCAGUUGUGAAAGUUUGCGGCUCAACCGUAAAAUUGCAGUUGAUACUGUCAGUCUUGAGUACAGUAGAGGUGGGCGGAAUUCGUGGUGUAGCGGUGAAAUGCUUAGAUAUCACGAAGAACUCCGAUUGCGAAGGCAGCUCACUGGACUGCAACUGACACUGAUGCUCGAAAGUGUGGGUAUCAAGCAGG
RNAcentral lists this ribosomal RNA (783 nucleotides) under uncultured bacterium. RNAcentral's name for it is "bacterial SSU rRNA". It matches the Rfam family "Bacterial small subunit ribosomal RNA", at positions 1 to 776 of the family's 1533-position model. The record is from RNAcentral.